Molecule: ribosomal RNA, 468 nt
Filed under: uncultured bacterium
Lineage: Bacteria
Description: partial 16S ribosomal RNA
Rfam family: Bacterial small subunit ribosomal RNA
Source: RNAcentral
GACGAACGCUGGCGGCGUGCUUAACACAUGCAAGUCGAACGGAAAGGCCCUGCUUUUGUGGGGUGCUCGAGUGGCGAACGGGUGAGUAACACGUGUGUAACCUGCCCUUUACUUUGGGAUAACUUCAGGAAACUGGGGCUAAUACCGGAUAGGAGCUCCUGCUGCAUGGUGUGGGUUGGAAAGUUUCGGCGGUUGGGGAUGGACUCGCGGCUUAUCAGCUUGUUGGUGGGGUAGUGGCUUACCAAGGCUUUGACGGGUAGCCGGCCUGAGAGGGUGACCGGCCAAAAUGGGACUGAGAGAGGGCCCAGAAUCCAACGGGAGGAAGGAGGGGGGAAUAGUGCAAAAUGGGCGGAAGCCUGAUGCAGCAAAGCCGCGUGGGGGAUGACGGCCUUCGGGUUGGAAACCGCUUGAGCCUGUGACGAAGAGUGAGUGACGGUAAUGGGUAAAGAAGCACCGGCUAACUACGUG